This 459-nucleotide ribosomal RNA is filed under the name uncultured bacterium. Its description in RNAcentral is "partial 16S ribosomal RNA". It matches the Rfam family "Bacterial small subunit ribosomal RNA", at positions 338 to 795 of the family's 1533-position model. The record is from RNAcentral.
CCUACGGGUGGCUGCAGUGAGGAAUAUUGGUCAAUGGCCGGAAGGCUGAACCAGCCAAGCCGCGUGCAGGACGAAGGUGCCAAGCAUUGUAAACUUCUUUUGUCCAGGGAUAAAAUCAGGCUCGAGAGCCUGACCGUGGGUACUUGAAGAAAAAGCAUCGGCUAACUCCGUGCCAGCAGCCGCGGUAAUACGGAGGAUGCGAGCGUUAUCCGGUUUUAUGGGGUUUAAAGGGUGCGUAGGCGGGCUGUUAAGCCGGCGGUAAAAGCCCGGGGCUCAACCCCGGCGAGCCGUGGAAACUGGCUGGCUUGAGAGGGCGGGAGGUAUGCGGAAUGCGCAGUGUAGCGGUGAAAUGCUUAGAUAUUGCGCAGAACUCCGAUUGCGAAGGCAGCAUACCGGCGGGGAUCUGACGCUGAGGCACGAAAGCGUGGGUAUCGAACAGGAUUAGAUACCCGUGUAGUC